RNAcentral lists this ribosomal RNA (520 nucleotides) under uncultured bacterium. RNAcentral describes it as "bacterial SSU rRNA". It matches the Rfam family "Bacterial small subunit ribosomal RNA", at positions 8 to 518 of the family's 1533-position model. The record is from RNAcentral.
AGAGUUGAUCAUGGCUCAGGAUGAACGCUAGCUACAGGCUUAACACAUGCAAGUCGAGGGGCAGCAUUAUCGAAGCUUGCUUUGAUAGAUGGCGACCGGCGCACGGGUGAGUAACGCGUAUCCAACCUUCCCAUCACUCAGGGAUAGCCCGCCGAAAGGCGAAUUAAUACCUGAUGGUCUCCUUUGCGGACAUCUAACGAGGAGUAAAGAUUUAUUGGUGAUGGAUGGGGAUGCGCCUGAUUAGGUAGUAGGCGGGGUAACGGCCCACCUAGCCGACGAUCAGUAGGGGUUCUGAGAGGAAGGUCCCCCACAUUGGAACUGAGACACGGUCCAAACUCCUACGGGAGGCAGCAGUGAGGAAUAUUGGUCAAUGGACGGAAGUCUGAACCAGCCAAGUAGCGUGCAGGAUGACGGCCCUAUGGGUUGUAAACUGCUUUUGUGCGGGAAUAAAGUAUGGGACGUGUCCCAUUUUGCAUGUACCGCACGAAUAAGGACCGGCUAAUUCCGUGCCAGCCGCGGC